RNAcentral lists this ribosomal RNA (351 nucleotides) under uncultured eukaryote. RNAcentral describes it as "bacterial SSU rRNA". It matches the Rfam family "Eukaryotic small subunit ribosomal RNA", at positions 592 to 928 of the family's 1831-position model. The record is from RNAcentral.
CAGUAGCGUAUAUUAAAGUUGUUGCAGUUAAAAAGCUCGUAGUUGGACUUCUGGUUUGGUGCGCUCGGCCCGCUCCCUUUAGGGAUGUGAGUGUUGACGCGCGCCUUCCAUCUUUGUACAGGACCUCUCUGCCCUUCAUUGGGACUGGAUUGGCGAUGUGCAUCUUUUACUUUGAAAAAUUAAGAGUGUUUAAAGCAGGCUUGUGCUAUGAAUACAUUAGCAUGGAAUAAUAACUUAGGACUUGGUUCGUUAUUUUGUUUGGUUUUCGUUAGGUACCGGAACGUAAUAGAUUGUAUAGGGAGUAGUUGGGGGUGGGCGUAGUAUUCUAGCGGCCGACGAGGUGGAAAUUAC